This is a non-coding RNA of Cinara cedri, 235 nucleotides long. The record is from the annotation of a GenBank genome assembly. NCBI's taxonomy places the organism in Eukaryota, Metazoa, Arthropoda, Insecta, Hemiptera, Aphididae.
AGGGUAUUUGUGCUUAUUCAUACAAUUACAAAUUUCAGCUAAACUAUGGAUAAUUUUGAAGAAGUUAAUAAGCCACCCCCUCAAUUUUCGUAUAUGCAUAAAAUGCGAUGGUGACUGGACGAUAUUUAUAUUCAUCAAUAGCCAGUUUUUUGAUUCUACGUAAUAUGUCGUUAAAAACAAUAUACUAACGAUAUUAGAAAUAUAAUGUGCGUCGUUUUAUUAAAAUGUAAAUAGG